UGUGCACUCAUGUGGGAAAAAAUUUAGUUAUGCACUCUCAAGUUUCAUAUUUCCUAGUAUACAUUGCAUGAUUUUGCUUACCCUCUCUAUAUGGAUCUUUUUUUAUACUUUUGAUUUUUUUUUCAGGAUAGAUUAUUGGUGGAUAGAUCAACUCUUGCACACCUAAUAUAUGGAGUUUUACUUGUGUCCGGCUUCACAAGAGGGCUUCCGGCAUGAUGAAGCCCAACACAACCCCCUAUUGACUAAGAUGCAAUGAUCCUGUGCAUCUCUGAUUAAUGGUGAAGUGAGCAAUGAGUGUCACCCCGGAUGAUGGAGCAUGUUGGAUUGUCUUCCUCGUUGAAACGAUGGCCAUCCUUGCUCCAUCAAGAUUUUGAGGUUCUCCCUCUCCUGGAUCUCCAAGUUGGUUACUCAUGAAAUUAUUCGCAGUUCGACCUCAUGUGUGCGCCAACGCGAUGUUGCUCACAACAAUUGUCCCAAACUUGGCGGCUUGGCCGACUCCAAAGGUCCAUAGAUCUGAUGUGAUGUCCCCAUGGUCGACACCAGUUGUCCAAGGAUUUUUCGCAGACCCACAACAAGUGUAGGGAUUUGUAGUCGGGGAAACCAUGCAAGGUUACAGUGGA
Triticum dicoccoides is the source of this 620-nucleotide long non-coding RNA. RefSeq lists it as uncharacterized. Lineage: Eukaryota; Viridiplantae; Streptophyta; Magnoliopsida; Poales; Poaceae. The record is from RefSeq and is a predicted model, not a curated record. The transcript is spliced from 3 exons.